CGAACGGGUGAGUAAUAUAUCGGAACGUACCCUAGAGUGGGGGAUAACGUAGCGAAAGUUACGCUAAUACCGCAUACGAUCUAAGGAUGAAAGUGGGGGAUCGCAAGACCUCAUGCUCGUGGAGCGGCCGAUAUCUGAUUAGCUAGUUGGUAGGGUAAAAGCCUACCAAGGCAUCGAUCAGUAGCUGGUCUGAGAGGACGACCAGCCACACUGGAACUGAGACACGGUCCAGACUCCUACGGGAGGCAGCAGUGGGGAAUUUUGGACAAUGGGCGAAAGCCUGAUCCAGCAAUGCCGCGUGAGUGAAGAAGGCCUUCGGGUUGUAAAGCUCUUUUGUCAGGGAAGAAACGGUGAGAGCUAAUAUCUCUUGCUAAUGACGGUACCUGAAGAAUAAGCACCGGCUAACUACGUGCCAGCAGCCGCGGUAAUACGUAGGGUGCAAGCGUUAAUCGGAAUUACUGGGCGUAAAGCGUGCGCAGGCGGUUUUGUAAGUCUGAUGUGAAAUCCCCGGGCUCAACCUGGGAAUUGCAUUGGAGACUGCAAGGCUAGAAUCUGGCAGAGGGGGGUAGAAUUCCACGUGUAGCAGUGAAAUGCGUAGAUAUGUGGAGGAACACCGAUGGCGAAGGCAGCCCCCUGGGUCAAGAUUGACGCUCAUGCACGAAAGCGUGGGGAGCAAACAGGAUUAGAUACCCUGGUAGUCCACGCCCUAAACGAUGUCUACUAGUUGUC
This 729-nucleotide ribosomal RNA is filed under the name Janthinobacterium lividum. RNAcentral describes it as "bacterial SSU rRNA". It matches the Rfam family "Bacterial small subunit ribosomal RNA", at positions 99 to 824 of the family's 1533-position model. Lineage: Bacteria; Pseudomonadati; Pseudomonadota; Betaproteobacteria; Burkholderiales; Oxalobacteraceae. The record is from RNAcentral.